CUUGAUCUGGCAACUUGUACCAGGCAAACCCUAUCUACCCGACAUUUCCCUUCCCCUCAUUUUCUUCCCGUCCUUGUUGGUCUCUCAGCGAGAAAGGUCGAUCGAUCGCCCCUUGAUAGAAACAAAUAGCACGAUACGAGAGAAGGUGAAGGCCAUCGGGCGAUGAGAGAGAUGGGAUCGCUGUGAGAGAGAUGGCAUCCACCAAGCCAGCCACGAUGCUGUCCGCCACCGCCAGGUCAAUGAUCCGCUCAUCAUUCCCUUCUCCGCGCCACUACGACGGGACGUCUUCCUCUGUGGUGCGAUCGACCCAUCGCCACGCGUUGGUGCACCCCAUCGCCUGUACGACCUAAACCACUAGUGGACUAUGCCCUAACAUCGCUAUGCUCGCUAGACAGAGGAGAUGGGUCGUGCGUAGAAAUUGGAUCAGCGACAGGGGGAUCCAGCCGUGCUCGAUGCGGGCGAUCUGUCCAGCCGACGCGCGUGUGGUUUGGGCGAAUCCAGCCCACUCGAGCAGGAUACGGACGAAGCACGCGAUGUGGGUGGAUCGGGGGAAGUGUGGUUGGGGAAUGAUAAGCUUGUGUUGUGCAUAGGUACAAGGAGGGACUCGCAAUGUGAACAUGCCCGCACAAACAAUCGUAGAAAUGGAAUGCGUCAGAUGGCAUAACUCUCCAUGAGGCAUGGAAAUAAAAACAGACUGCCCAAAUAAUUUUGUUGAAUAUUCCUAAUUUCUUGCUUAUAAUCAUUUUUACACUUCAAAGGCCUUUGAUUUUCCGUAUAAUUUUUGCAGUACUCUUUAUCUAGGUUUCUAUCUUCUUAUUCGUUUGGUAUGCAAAAUGAAUGUACUAGACUUUCUUCGUAAGCAAUACCAUAUGGUGACAAUAAUAUUGUACCAUGAACA
Long non-coding RNA from Triticum aestivum (bread wheat), 898 nucleotides. RefSeq lists it as uncharacterized. The record is from RefSeq and is a predicted model, not a curated record. NCBI's taxonomy places the organism in Eukaryota, Viridiplantae, Streptophyta, Magnoliopsida, Poales, Poaceae. The transcript is spliced from 3 exons.